Molecule: ribosomal RNA, 497 nt
Filed under: uncultured bacterium
Lineage: Bacteria
Description: partial 16S ribosomal RNA
Rfam family: Bacterial small subunit ribosomal RNA
Source: RNAcentral
GAUGAACGCUGGCGGCGUGCCUAAUACAUGCAAGUCGAGCGAACAGACGAGGAGCUUGCUCCUCUGACGUUAGCGGCGGACGGGUGAGUAACACGUGGAUAACCUACCUCUAAGACUGGGAUAACUUCGGGAAACCGGAGCUAAUACCGGAUAAUAUAUUGAACCGCAUGGUUCGAUAGUGAAAGACGGUUUUGCUGUCACUUAUAGAUGGAUCCGCGCCGCAUUAGCUAGUUGGUAAGGUAACGGCUUACCAAGGCGACGAUGCGUAGCCGACCUGAGAGGGUGAUCGGCCACACUGGAACUGAGACACGGUCCAGACUCCUACGGGAGGCAGCAGUAGGGAAUCUUCCGCAAUGGGCGAAAGCCUGACGGAGCAACGCCGCGUGAGUGAUGAAGGUCUUCGGAUCGUAAAACUCUGUUAUUAGGGAAGAACAAAUGUGUAAGUAACUAUGCACGUCUUGACGGUACCUAAUCAGAAAGCCACGGCUAACUACGUG